GGCUGUGGGCGGCUGGGCUCCCCUCCCGGCCGGACCUGCAGGAGCCGCAUGUUCUCUCAGGCCCGGUUUCCUCUCCUUGCUGCUAAUCCAAGCAGCUGAGUGCCCCGUGGCCUUGAGACCAACCGGCCAGAAUUAGAACCGGGUGAUGAAGUGCCUGUCACAACUUGGUGCUGAAAACCAAGCUCCCAAUGCGUUUGUUUAAAUACAGAGACCAAAAGAGCCAAGUAUCAUAACACAGGCUGAAACAUUUUUAAGAAACGUUUUUCUUGGAGUGUAGCUGACUCACAACUUUGGGUUAGUGUCAGGUGUACAGCAGAGUGGAUCCGCCACACACAUGCACACAUCCAUUUCUUUUCAGAUUCCUGUCCCAUAUAGGGCACUGCCAAGGAUGGCACAGACUGCCCUGGGCUGGACGGUGGGUCCUCGUCACUCAUCCAGUCCGUAUACAGUGGUGUGUACACCACAGUCUCCACCUCCCACGGUAUCCCUCCCCCCCGUGUUUCUCCUUUGGUAGCCAUAAGUCUAGGAGGGAGCCCUAAGAGAUUUCCAGAAUCCCUCCUGGCAGAACCCCUCUUUUUUAGGGAGCUGUGGCGGCCACGCUGGGAGGUGAGAGGGAACAGAACAGAGAGGGUCUUGGAGAAGAUGGGGGCUGUUAGGGCCUUGCUAUGAGUUGAAAAUAGUGUCUUUGCUCGUGAAGUCGAGUUAAGAUGUGGUCAUUGGUCCAAUGGGGCUGCCAUCCUUUGCAGAAGAGAAGAGACACAGACAGACGUGCACAGACGGAACAGCAUCCUGUGAAGACACAGCGUGAACACCUGGGACCCUGCAGGUCCGAGCCACGCAUUGCAAGCCAGGGACCCCCAGCCGGGGUGGGGGGCGGCGCAGGUGGGAGCAGAACCUCCUCCAGAGCAUCCGGAGAGUGUGGCCCUGCCCACGUCUCGACUGCGGACUUCUAGCUUCCAAAACUGCAGGAAAAUAAAUGUCAGUUGUUUCAGCUACUCAGGCUGCGUACAGGCGGCCGUGGUGAUGACACAGAAGGGGCGGUUGGGUUCCUCUCCUUGAGGUGGGAUGACUUUGAUGCUAUGAGCUUCUCAAGGGCCUAGGGGUAGCAGGCCCUGCAGCCGCAGAAGCAGCUGUGUCACAGCCUCGGGGACCUUUCACAGCAUCAGCGAACUUGCUCGUGAGGCAAACCUGGUCAUGACGCUGACGGCCCUUUCCGCCGACCAGCUGAAAGGCAGCAAGUGUGUGUUCAUAUACAGCCAUACCCACUGACACCCCAUCGCGGGUGGCCGUGGUGUUUGUUAGGAGCUGGGCAUAGGCAGCAUCCUGCAAAGUCAGAUGUGGCUGAGCAACUGGCCCCAAGUCAGACCAGGGAGCCGAAAUCAGGACGGACAAUCUCAAGGGAGAAAAGGGACCAUAUUAUCAACACACGAGCAGUGCUGGACUCGCCCAAAGGGCAGGCCAAGAAGGUGCUCAGGGCACCAGCAAAGUAAAACAAAAUUUUUUUCUUUUUUUUUUUAGGACUGCACCUGCGGCAUAUGGUAAUUUCCAGGCUAGGUGUUAAAUUGGAGCUGCAGUGGCCAGCCUCUGCCACAGCCACGGCCACACUGGAUCCCAGCCAUACCUGAGACCUACACCACAGCUCUCAGGCAACUUGGGAUCCUUAAUCUACUGAGCGAAGCCAGGGAUUGAACCCGAAUCUGCAUCCUCAUGGAUACUGCAUCACAGUAGGAACUUCAAGAAUGUUUUUAAAAAAGGAAUCUGCUGUGCAACUUUGAAAAAAAUUGAAGAAGUUAGCAGGUGUAAAUCACACUUUUUUAGGAUUUCUUUGUGCUUAAUUGGUUGAUCACUAUUUUUCCUUUGAAUGACUUGUGCAGGGGUCCAGAAGCCUCAGGGUUCUGUGGUUUGAGGUCUCUCAAGGUGGCCCAGGUUCCAGGAGGGCUCAUGGAUUGGAGGCUGGCCAUACACCCUCCCCUCCUCCCUCCCCUCCUCCCUCUCCCCCCCCUCCUUUCUGUACCACCCACCGUCCCAGGGGGGCAGGCUCCCUCAGUGGCUCUUGGGGGGAGUGAGAAGAUGCUGUGCCGUUUCACACAGCAUGGUUCUUCCUCGGGGUGCCCUUCUCCCUCUCAGACACACGCUUUCAGUCUUAAUUCUGCAGAUGCAGAGGAAGGACUCUUCCUGCGGGGUCAUGCCCACCCCCAGCUCAAUAAACCUCAGCCGGAGGCAGGUGGGGGUGUUCCCAUAGGGAGGAGGAAAGGCAAAGUGCCAGGUAAGACUUGGAGGGGACUUCACUGCUCCCCAUCCCGACUCCUUUGCGGCCUGGUUGUCCAUUAGCUUCGCUGUUAACCCCUCCCGCCUCGCUUUCCUCCACUGUCAGAGGGGCAGAGACCUGCGCCUACCUCGUGGGGUUAGGGAACCGCUCGAUACUGUGCCUGGCAUAGUAAGGGAUCAAUAAGUAUCAGAUAAAAGUAUUAAAGCUCUUAGGAGAACCUGUCAUCACCCGGGAAGGAUGGCAGGUCCUACAAAAGCGUGUCAGGUAGGGUCUGGACGGCCGGCGGCUGGCCAAGCGCAUCCCCUACGGACGGACGGGUGAGGACUGGACCACGGGAGGGAGUGGCUGCAGGACGGCGCCGCCGAGGACUCGACGGUCAGCGCGAUGGAGGAGGUGCCUUGUGCCCAGCGCUGCCGCCUGGUCCCUGGGCAGCGGACUGACCUGGAGGUUACAAGAGGGUCACUGUAGAAAGCGCGUGGCGAAAAAACGGCCUGAGUCAUUCCAGGAUGAGGCUGUGCAGGGGUCGAUCGCGUGGGAACAGAGUGAGUUAGGAAACAGUGACAUCAAAAAUGGACUUGACUCUCGGGAACUGAAGCAGUCCUCCCCCUCACGUUGGCAUCUUCUGCUGGUCUUGUUUGAGAAAGUGAGUCAUGAGCCAGAGGCAGCUCUGGUGACCUUCACCCCUGGCGCAUACGUCCUUUGCCAGAAUGCUUCAAAGCUCGCAGACACUAAAAGAAAGCAGAGCCUCCCUGUCUUGGAAACAGAGUAGAUCCGGACUGCUGAAGUUGGUCGAUGGAAGGUCAGCCUUGUUCUCUGCUCUUUAUGUGCAUUUUCUUGUUAAUUUUCAGACCCAUCCAUCCAUAGAUAAGGAAGAUGAGGCUCCUUGAACGGCUAAUUAAUUUGCCAAGAUCACACAGUAAAAGGCAAGCUGGAUGUGCCUGGAUGAGGCUAAUGUCUUGUCCCUGACUCCUUGGCAUGUUUGGGUGGGUUCUGGAAGCUUCUGCCAGCCCCACCAAGAACUUGCUCAGCCCACACAUGGGGCAGUUCAGCCAGAUGGGGACGGCCGAGGAGCCACGGUCUGGAGAUGUGCCCAGGCUGAAGUGCCAUGUUAGGGCAAGAACGCAGGGGUUAAUUGCCUCUACUUUUGAAGUCUGGUGACAGGUUCCUUAACAGGAAUAGCAGGGGGCCCUGACUCUAGGGCUCAGACUUAGAGUGAGGCCAGUCUGUUGGCUGCACAGGCGCUAUUGCCAGUUUGCUGUAAUUCAAAGCUCCAGAUGCUGGCGGGAGAAUGUCCCAGAGGCCACAGACAGGUGCCCAUGAACCCACUCUUUCUUGGCUUUUCUCUGUUCCUUGAUUUACCUUUGUCCUCCUUUAUCGGGAUCCUUCCUGGUUUCCCCUCUCAAGACAAGCACACAGACAGAAAAACGGUGCCCCCCACCCCCACCCCUGUAACAGCUUCCUGGCUGGCAGAGGCUCAUGGUAGCGUCAGAUUGCAGGGCUGCGGGGCCCAGGUGUGCCUCACACACCAGCCUGGGUGCUGCCAUGAAGGUCUCUCUUAGAUGUGAUUAGUUUUUGCCGUCAGUAGGUUUUGCGUAAAGCGGCUGACCCUCCAGAAUGUGGGUGGGCCUCAUCUAACAAGUUGAAGGCCUUGAGAGCAAAGAUUGAGGUCCCAGAAGAAGAGGCCAUUCUGCUUCAAGACUGAAUCAUAGAAAUCCUGAGGCUUCAGCCUGCUGCCCAUGGGACUUGGAUUCAGGACCCGGACAGCAGCCUCAGGACUCACCUGGGCUUCCUGCCUGCUGGACUGUCCUGCCCACCUCAGGGCUGGUGACCCCACAAGCUUGAGAGCCAGUUCCUUUAAGUGAGCUGCCACCCUCCACAUACACGCACUCACACACCCUUCUUUUUUUUUUUACGGUUCCUAGACUAGGGGUUGAAUUGGUGUCAUAGCCUCCGGCCUACACCCCAGCCACAGCAAGGCCAGAUCUGAGCCACGCCUUUGAUCUACACCAUAGCUCAUGGCAACUCUGGAUCCUUAACCCACUGAGCAAGGCCAGGGAUCAAACCACAUCUUCACGGACUGGGCCACAACAGGAACUCCUACACACACCCUAUUGGUUCUGUUUCUCUGGGGCACACUGACUCUUCCAGUUAAUCGCCAGCUUCUCUGUGCUGCAGCAACACUCACAUAUCUCUGUUUCAUUUCUGAUGAACUUCAUGUGUGUGGUUUUUUUGUUUUUGUUUUUGUUUUACUUAAUCACAGUAUUUAGUUUCAAUUUUCCUCUUUUCUGUUAUUUAAGCAAUCUAUUGACACACGUGCUCACCGCAUCAAGCUGAGCCCCUGGAGGGACAGAGACAGUGGGGGUCAGCUCUGUCCCUGCCCCUCACACAGGACCUGUCGUAGGAAGAAAGGAAGGUUGGAGUCCAGGGCAGGGGAGCAGAAUGAUCUUAGAGAGGCUGCUGCCUCCUGUCUGAUUUUGAAUCCCCCUGACUAUCUGAAUGGCUUCAGGCAGCUUUAUUCAUGGCCAGCAUUCCCACUUGUAUUCCUUUAUUCAUUCCCAUGUGCGAGUUACAAAGCACACAGUUCUGAUGAAACCUCAAGUUCAAUAAUUAAGUGAUUGUGUUAUCCAUCAGCGCAGCCAGAAGCUCCUGCUAGAGCGGCGGGGCGGCAAGGCUGCGAAACACAACUGGGCUUUGUCUGGUGUCGGCUUACAUUAUUUAUAAGCGGCUAGAGAGAGGAGUGGUGCCCCCACGCCCCUCAUCUGACACAUCUUAAGGAAGAACAAAGCAGGGACAGCAGGCGCCAUUCAGUACCUGACAUGUGUGAGGUGGUUUUCUAGUCCCAACUUGACUGUGUCAGAAUUUUUCAUCUCAGGGUCCCCCGAACGCACUGCUGUGAAAGCCGCGAGGGAGGCUAAUGCCGCCACCUGCUCUUCGCCCACUGCUCCCUAAAAGAAAAAAAAAAAAAAAAAA
Molecule: long non-coding RNA, 5239 nt
Filed under: Sus scrofa (pig)
Lineage: Eukaryota; Metazoa; Chordata; Mammalia; Artiodactyla; Suidae
Description: lncRNA (ENSSSCG00015072153.1)
Source: RNAcentral